This 486-nucleotide ribosomal RNA is filed under the name uncultured bacterium. RNAcentral describes it as "partial 16S ribosomal RNA". It matches the Rfam family "Bacterial small subunit ribosomal RNA", at positions 30 to 507 of the family's 1533-position model. The record is from RNAcentral.
AUUGAACGCUGGCGGCAUGCCUUACACAUGCAAGUCGAACGGCAGCACGGGUGCUUGCACCUGGUGGCGAGUGGCGAACGGGUGAGUAAUACAUCGGAACAUGUCCUGUAGUGGGGGAUAGCCCGGCGAAAGCCGGAUUAAUACCGCAUACGAUCUACGGAUGAAGGCGGGGGACCUUCGGGCCUCGCGCUAUAGGGUUGGCCGAUGGCUGAUUAGCUAGUUGGUGGGGUAAAAGCCUACCAAGGCGACGAUCAGUAGCUGGUCUGAGAGGACGACCAGCCACACUGGGACUGAGACACGGCCCAGACUCCUACGGGAGGCAGCAGUGGGGAAUUUUGGACAAUGGGCGAAAGCCUGAUCCAGCAAUGCCGCGUGUGUGAAGAAGGCCUUCGGGUUGUAAAGCACUUUUGUCCGGAAAGAAAUCCUUGGCCCUAAUACGGUCGGGGGAUGACGGUACCGGAAGAAUAAGCACCGGCUAACUACGUG